RNAcentral lists this long non-coding RNA (834 nucleotides) under Homo sapiens (human). Its description in RNAcentral is "HSALNT0268703". The record is from RNAcentral. Lineage: Eukaryota; Metazoa; Chordata; Mammalia; Primates; Hominidae.
UUUUGGCUAGGGCAGGUUCGGGGACUCGGUCCGAGGCGCUUGUAUUGUCUGCUGAGGGGAGACGCGGGAUCAGCCCCCUCCCCCGCCCGUUGCCGCCGCCGCCUCCGCCGGCCCGGUCUCCCCUCCGCCGCCCGCCGGGAUCCAUGAGCUGAACUCCCGCCCCCCCCCCCCCGGCCGCCGCCAUCUUGUGCCCCCUCCCCCUCCCGCAGGCAGCGCUAAGGGGGAUUUUGGCGUCUUCUCAGACACAGCUCCCUCUCUCGGUCCCCGCUGCUGAGGAGCGAGAGGAGCGCGGCCGCCGCCGCCCGCGCCGGUGAAGCCGCCUCUCCCACACCCUCCGUCUCCUCCCUCCGCCCCUCCUUUGUCUGCACCGCUCGACGACGCCGCCGCCGCCCGCCGCUCUGCUGCGCCCGCCGCGCCCCCCGGCAGCACCCGCGGCCGCGGCGCGAGCCGGAGUCCGCCGAGCCGGAGCGCGACGAGGCCCCGGGCGCGCCCUCCCCGCUGCCGCCACCGCCGUGCCGCCGCCAUCCGCCCGCCGCCGCCGCCGCUGUCCGGCCCCCGAGCACGCCGGCCCCGCGCGCGCCUCGAGGCCGAGUCAAGGUGUGAGAUGCACAAUGCGAAACCUAGGCCCCAGCUUUUACACCAUGAUGCGCAGGGUUGUACUUUUUGUACUGAACUGAUAGGUGGCCUAGUGGUUAUGCCCUGUACUACCAUUUUGAGGAUCUGGACUCCGUUUCCUGCCUUGCUCUUUGGACCACAUUGUCAAUUCACACCGAAACUAUGUUCCAACUUCCUGUCAACAAUCUUGGCAGUUUAAGAAAAGCCCGGAAAACUGUG